Molecule: transfer RNA, 72 nt
Organism: Camelus ferus (Wild Bactrian camel)
Lineage: Eukaryota; Metazoa; Chordata; Mammalia; Artiodactyla; Camelidae
Rfam family: tRNA
About the family: Transfer RNA (tRNA) molecules are approximately 80 nucleotides in length. Their secondary structure includes four short double-helical elements and three loops (D, anti-codon, and T loops).
Source: Rfam
AGGGAUAUAGCUCAGUGGUAGAGCACAUGUUUGGCAGGCAUGAGGUCCUGGGUUCAGUCCCCGAUGCCUCUG